RNAcentral lists this ribosomal RNA (253 nucleotides) under uncultured bacterium. Its description in RNAcentral is "partial 16S ribosomal RNA". It matches the Rfam family "Bacterial small subunit ribosomal RNA", at positions 524 to 776 of the family's 1533-position model. The record is from RNAcentral.
UACGGAGGGGACUAGCGUUGUUCGGAAUUACUGGGCGUAAAGCGCACGUAGGCGGAUUUGUUAGUCAGGGGUGAAAUCCCGAGGCUCAACCUCGGAACUGCCUUUGAUACUGCAAAUCUCGAGUCCGGAAGAGGUGAGUGGAAUUCCUAGUGUAGAGGUGAAAUUCGUAGAUAUUAGGAAGAACACCAGUGGCGAAGGCGGCUCACUGGUCCGGUACUGACGCUGAGGCGCGAAAGCGUGGGGAGCAAACAGG